This 385-nucleotide ribosomal RNA is filed under the name uncultured Alphaproteobacteria bacterium. RNAcentral's name for it is "bacterial SSU rRNA". It matches the Rfam family "Bacterial small subunit ribosomal RNA", at positions 1053 to 1440 of the family's 1533-position model. Lineage: Bacteria; Pseudomonadati; Pseudomonadota; Alphaproteobacteria. The record is from RNAcentral.
CGUCAGCUCGUGUCGUGAGAUGUUGGGUUAAGUCCCGCAACGAGCGCAACCCUCGCCUUUAGUUGCCAUCAUUCAGUUGGGCACUCUAAAGGGACUGCCGGUGAUAAGCCGCGAGGAAGGUGGGGAUGACGUCAAGUCCUCAUGGCCCUUACAGGCUGGGCUACACACGUGCUACAAUGGUGGUGACAGUGGGACGCAAAGGCGCGAGCCUGAGCAAAUCUCAAAAAGCCAUCUCAGUUCGGAUUGCACUCUGCAACUCGAGUGCAUGAAGGUGGAAUCGCUAGUAAUCGUGGAUCAGCAUGCCACGGUGAAUACGUUCCCGGGCAUUGUACACACCGCCCGUCACACCAUGGGAGUUGUUUUACCCGAAGGCGUUUCGCUAACC